This is a non-coding RNA of Camellia sinensis, 1301 nucleotides long. Lineage: Eukaryota; Viridiplantae; Streptophyta; Magnoliopsida; Ericales; Theaceae. The record is from RefSeq and is a predicted model, not a curated record.
AAAAAACAAAAACAAAAAGAUGAGAGAGAAUGCAGAGAUCGUAGGCGAGAGAAAAAUCAAUCUGAUAUAGAGAGAGAAACAACAGAGAUAUAUGAAUGUAUAUGAAGAGAGAGAGACGGAGAGAGAGAGUUUGUGCUGUUCUAUAAAUUGGUGAGAAACGGUUUUGAUUUCCCUCUCUCUCUCUCUCUCUCACACACACACAAAAACACAAACACAUAAGCGAUCUCUCUCUCUCUCUCUCCGUUUCUUCUUCAUUUGUUUUCGUCUGCACUUUCUGUUUGUUUCUCUGCAAAAUUUAUCAGCCAUUUCGUUCCUUCUGGGUACUCUUUGACGGUGGUUGUUCUAUAUAUUUGACACUCUCUCUUCAAUUACUCUCAUUUGUUGGUAUACGAAGAGAGUUUUAGAGAGAGAGAGAGAGAGAGAAAUAUGGGCGAGAAGAAGCAAAUGGGUUCUCCUUCAUCUUCCUCAUUCACUUCUGAUCUUUUCGGUUCCAAGGAGUCCUCUGCUUCAUCAUCUUCUGGAAUUUUUGGGUCUAUCUUUGAGCCUUCUUCCAAGGUGUUGGGGAGGGAGUCUGUGCACUCUAAGGCGGUUGAGAAGAAGCAAGACUCUCCAAAUCAGGUUUGGAGCACCAAACCUGGAGCUCAAGACACUAUACCUCGGAGUGGUGAAGGUGAAAAUCAAAACAUACAUAACAGGGACAUGAGUCCGUUUUAUCAGGAACAAAGAGUACAACCGUGUGACCUCAGCUCAUCGAUAUAUUAUGGCGGUCAAGACAUCUAUUCUCAACCUCAGACUACCCAAGGUUCUGGGCACUCAACGGUCAAUCAAGAUGGGGUAGAAGAUGAUUCAGGCAGUGCUUCAAGAGGAAAUUGGUGGCAAGGUAGGAUGAUUGUAUGUCUGUGUCAAAUGUGCAUGGAAAGUGGUAUUACUAGUAUUGGCUAACAUCUUUGUUGAUCAAAUAUUUGCUUUUGCAGGGUCUCUAUAUUACUAAGAACUCACCAACUAUGGUGUGUGAAUUUCCCAUAUGCUCAGGAUGUCAUAUACAUAGGAUAGCAGUUUAUCAUAUCUCAUAUAUGUAGAAGAUGGAUAGUAGCAGUUCGUUGCAGACGGUCAUUUGUCGCUUUUUGCAGCGAAACAUCAAAACCAUCAUAUGCAGUCGUAGUUUAUGUACUAUUUUAUACCUCUUUUUCUUUUUCUUUUUCUUUUUCGUUUUCGUCUUACUAUUGUAAAAAGAAUGUUGAAUAUGAUGUUUUGCUGUAAAGGAUGUUUGAUUUAGUGAUUUUAUGCUUUUUUACCAUUAA